This 1287-nucleotide ribosomal RNA is filed under the name Triticum aestivum (bread wheat). RNAcentral's name for it is "partial small subunit ribosomal RNA". Lineage: Eukaryota; Viridiplantae; Streptophyta; Magnoliopsida; Poales; Poaceae. The record is from RNAcentral.
AUGGAGUCGAGCAGGGGUCUAGGGAAGAAAGAAGUAGCGUUGGAGCAGGGAAGAGAAGUAGAAGGAGGACGGGUCGGAGAAACAAGCGGGGCGACGGAGGCUAGGGGAGAUGAUGCGAGGGAGCAAGCAGGCAAUAUGGGGGCAGGAGUCGAUGAUGUUGAUCUGGAUGGUGAGGACCAUUGGGAACCCUACGGCCCGGAGGCGGAUCUAGAGGAUCAAUUUGCAGGUAUGCAGCUUCAUGGGGAGGAGGAAGACGACCUGGAUCUCUCCGGGGAGGUAGAUGAUCUGAUCAAGGGAGUCUGUUGGCUAGGGCUCUUCCGUGUGCAUACAACGAAGCCGUUCAGUCAUGCAGCCCUCCUGCGUCAGAUGAGGAACACCUGGGCAUCUGUGCAAGGGGUGACUUCCAAUGUUAAGGGCCCUAACCUCUUCCUAGUGCAAUGUCACUACCUGGGUGACUGGAAGAGGGUCAUGGAGGGGGGUCAGUGGAUCUUUCGCAACUCAGCACCUAUUAUCAUACAAGAGUACGAUGGGUUCACUGAUGUGUCUGAGUAUAAGUUGAACAAGAUACCAGUGUGGGCGAGGAUUAAGGGUCUGCCAGAUGGUUUAACAGCUAAGAAAGAGCUAGCAGAGAAGGUGGCCGCAAAGGUGGGGGAGCCACCCUUCACCGUCAUUGUCAAUGAAGAAAAAAUCAAUCCAGGCAGCACUUUGAGGGUCAGGGUCUAUGUUGAUGUGAAUAAACCUUUGGUCCGGUUUGUGCCAAUAACACUUAAGGGGAGCAAAAAAUACCCGGUGUUCUAUGAAAAGUUGCAUGUGUUUUGUUACUUUUGUGGCUUGUUGGGGCAUUCAGUGGAGGAGUGUGGUGAUGGGAUUCACAACCCUACAACGUGUGAAUGGGGGGAGUGGCUGUUGUGGAGCAAUGAUGCGCCUAGGUAUGUGGAGUUUGGGAGAGGAAGCACGGAUGAAGGAGGCAGAGGAGGUAGGACUGGUGGAAGAGGUAUGAGGGGAGGUAGACAAGGUAGAGGAGGACCGGGGGAUGGUAGAUAUGGAGAGGAAGGGCGCAUAUAUGGAGCUAAUGCAGUUAACCCUUAUGCUAAUCAACACAUGCAGGAGAAUGACAGGACUGCUAGAAAGCGUCUUGUGUCGCAGGAUGGCAUUGUCAAUGUGCGUGGCCAGGAACUACCACACUUGUCGGGGAAAGUGGCAGAUGUUGUUUUACUUUUGGAGGGUGGGGCGGUGAGUGACGGUGGGGGGCGUCGGUUUCCACACCGGAGAAAGUCCAGGUGGUGA